Molecule: long non-coding RNA, 2412 nt
Organism: Papaver somniferum (opium poppy)
Lineage: Eukaryota; Viridiplantae; Streptophyta; Magnoliopsida; Ranunculales; Papaveraceae
Exons: 4
Source: RefSeq, a predicted model, not a curated record
UCUAAGACUUAUUUGUAAUUUUGCCAUACCAGACUCUACUAGUCGAUGACUCGAGAAGACCGAAGAUAAGUUUUAUCUUUUUUUCCUCUCUUCUCAGUUCUCACUUCGUUCAUCCCGCUCCCGCCUCUCCAAUGAUGUUAAUCAAUAAUCAAUCACUCAAAUUAGGUUUAAGGUGACAUCCGGUUCUUAAAAUUUUAACCUAAGAAAUGUUACCAACAGUAAGAAAAUUAGGCGGAAAAUCAACAAAUCUAAAGAAAUGUCCAAAACCAAGUGGUGAUGUGCCUGUUGAGAGUCCUACAAAGGUUGUGGAGUAUGGCGUUUUUGAAGAAAGAUACGAAUUGGAAGGUAAUGUACGUUUACCUCCAAUUUUUAGACCUAACCUACAACAUAUACAAGAGUGGUAGAUGAUUUAGAACAUGCUUCACAUAAAAUUAAUUUUGAAUCAACGGUCUCACUUUUUCAACAUCGCUCGUCACUUUGUAACAUUAUUAGUGUUUAUAAGGAUAUAAAAGAUAAGUGUCCACAAGCUUCGUAUAUUAUAUCAAAAAUCGGAUAGGAUCGUCUUUUGAACAUGACAGUAGGGGAAAGUUCACACGCUUUAAUUGACUAUAUCGUUGAACGUUGGUGGGAUACGGCGCACACUUUUCAUUUACCAUUUGGUGAGAUGGGGUUUACGCCGUUAGAUUGGAUGAUGUUAACUGGAAUUCCAAUUGGUGUCGGUAAACGUAUAUUGUAUGACCCCGGAGUGUAUAAAUUUGACUAUGUUAAAGAAAAAUUUUCCCUGAGAUAAAGGAGGACGCUCAACCAUGUCAGCGGAAAUGCGAUGCAAUUAAGCUUUGGUUCUUAAAAGAGUACUCUAAACAAGAGUUUUUGUCAAGUGUGGGUAACAAUGUAGUACUAAUAGAGAAAUUGGCUAGGGCUUUUUGGAUGUAUUGUUUGGGUACAUUUUUCUUCUCUAAUGCAAGUAACUACAUUGAUGCCGGAUGGUUGGCUUCUUUAAAAAAUGUUAACGAUGUUGGAGACUAUGACUGGGGUGGCUAUGCUUUUGCCUCCUUAUAUAUUUCACUAAAUUUUACUAGCAGGUCAAUGGAGUCGUUAAAUGGGCCCGUCCAGUUAUUAGAGUUCUGGGGGUAUGAAUAUCUCGGCAUUUGUCGACCAACUCCCGAUCUUCCCGAAGAUACAAAUCAGGAUUCCAUAUAGCCUAGACCUUCUAGGUGGAGGUCCAAAAAGAAGAGCAUUGUUGUCAUCCUUACUCACAGGAGUGCACUGGUGCGUCUCACUUAUGAUAAGGUAACAUGGCGCCCGUGGGAGUCUGCCAUGAAGUUAAUAGAUAGUGACCAGGAUGUACGCAUGGCUUUAAUUCUUUCUAAAAGAAGAGUUGGAUUUCGUCAUCUUGUACAGGUAUGUAAAGUUUUCUUUUAUAUGUCCCCGCUAUUAUUAGUAUUCAAUUCAUGAUUAACCUGUUCAUAUCUUUUAUAUGUCCCCGCUAUUAUUAGUAUUUGGCAGAUGGUAAUUUGACGGAUGGUGAAGACUUUGUGAAUAAGGUGUCAUAUGACUUGUAUAUAGAGUAUUAGCAGCAUGUCAGUGGUUUUGAAUUAACCGACGGUACUGUUGAUUGGAUUGCUCAAUUUUAUGCGUAUGAAGGUGAUAUAGUUAAAGUCACAGUUGAUAUGGUUAAAGUUUCAAUUUCAUGUUCCGAUAUCCAGGCCAUCACAAUUAUCACCUGCACCAUAUUAUAAUAUGCUUCAAGAUAAUGUAGAUUUUAUUGCUCAAUUUCGAAAAGUAGUUUAAGAGAAUCAAAGGUUAGGAUGGACCUGAUAAUGAUUCAAUAAGACUCGAUUGCGAAGCUUACAAUGACUAACAGGUGAUUGGUCAAUGAACUAAACCGAACGCUACCUUUGAUGGUUCAGGAUCCACAAAGCUCAUCUCAGCCUGUUCUUGGCUUAGGAAACUUUAGCGGUACCGUUCCGUCACAGGUGUGGAAUCAAGCCGGUCAAUCGCAAACCCCUUCCGUAUCAGUAAUAUUUAACAACUCGGUCGGGUCAUCUUCAAUGAACCUUUCUAGAAUCCCUUUUCAACCUCCUCGAUUUUCACCUCCAGAUGUUUGAACAUCCCGAUUUUUAGUUAUUUUGGUUUGUACUCUUACUUUGAUUGUCCUGUUUUUUCUUUUUGCUUUUUAAUAGGUUUGUAAAUGUUUGGUUUUUAAUAGGUUUUUUUGCUUUUUGCUUUUUAAUAGAAACUUGUAAAUGUUUUGCUUUCUAUAGUAGGUUUGUAAAUGUUGUCUCGAUAGAAUAUCGUUUGUGAGGUAGAACUGAACAUUUUAACUGCAUGGUUAUGUGUAGAUGUUAUGUCUAGUUGUGUGAUUAAGCUGAUAUUAAUCGAAGUUAAUGAAUAUCAUUAAGUUUCAUGUGA